This 624-nucleotide unclassified non-coding RNA is filed under the name Meyerozyma guilliermondii. RNAcentral's name for it is "sequence contains 18S rRNA gene, ITS1, 5.8S rRNA gene, ITS2, 28S rRNA gene". The stretch from base 225 to 378 matches the Rfam family "5.8S ribosomal RNA". Lineage: Eukaryota; Fungi; Ascomycota; Pichiomycetes; Serinales; Debaryomycetaceae. The record is from RNAcentral.
UGGAAGUAAAAGUCGUAACAAGGUUUCCGUAGGUGAACCUGCGGAAGGAUCAUUACAGUAUUCUUUUGCCAGCGCUUAACUGCGCGGCGAAAAACCUUACACACAGUGUCUUUUUGAUACAGAACUCUUGCUUUGGUUUGGCCUAGAGAUAGGUUGGGCCAGAGGUUUAACAAAACACAAUUUAAUUAUUUUUACAGUUAGUCAAAUUUUGAAUUAAUCUUCAAAACUUUCAACAACGGAUCUCUUGGUUCUCGCAUCGAUGAAGAACGCAGCGAAAUGCGAUAAGUAAUAUGAAUUGCAGAUUUUCGUGAAUCAUCGAAUCUUUGAACGCACAUUGCGCCCUCUGGUAUUCCAGAGGGCAUGCCUGUUUGAGCGUCAUUUCUCUCUCAAACCCCCGGGUUUGGUAUUGAGUGAUACUCUUAGUCGGACUAGGCGUUUGCUUGAAAAGUAUUGGCAUGGGUAGUACUAGAUAGUGCUGUCGACCUCUCAAUGUAUUAGGUUUAUCCAACUCGUUGAAUGGUGUGGCGGGAUAUUUCUGGUAUUGUUGGCCCGGCCUUACAACAACCAAACAAGUUUGACCUCAAAUCAGGUAGGAAUACCCGCUGAACUUAAGCAUAUCAAUAA